CCAUGCCUAUACUUUAUUAUCUUUUGUAUUAAGUUGUUGUAUAAAGGUUUUCAAGGGCAACCUUGACAUUUUUGAAAUUAUUUGUCUUUAUGAUUAAAUUAAAGUUUUCUAGAGUGUUUUGGAUAGUUUUCCAUUCAAGUUUAAUCUUAUUUAUUUAAAAAAUAUUUUUUAAAACCAGAAGAGAGUCUCUCAAAAUCCAUUCAAAUCUUUAAUCAAAGUCCAUAAAAUCCUUUCAAAUCUUUUAUCAAAAUCUAUAAGAAUAUUUUAAAGUUGUAAGGAUUCUACAAUCCUUUAAAAUCUGUGACUUAUUAAAAAAAUCUUUUAAAAUAAUCUGAAAUACACAAUGACUACGCCCCUUUUAGUUUACAAAAUACAUAUCUUUCUUAUAUGUUAGGAUUAUAAAAUCCUCCAUGCUUAUCUCGUUGUUCUAUCUUCCAUCGUAAACAAAUCCACCGUACUAUAUCACCACAUUCUAUAACCAUCACCCUUCAAUGUUGUGAGCUGCAAUCAAUUGAAAUGACUCCGAUUCGGCACAUCUCCACCAGCACCAUCCGACCAACGAAUG
Molecule: long non-coding RNA, 565 nt
Filed under: Malus domestica (apple)
Lineage: Eukaryota; Viridiplantae; Streptophyta; Magnoliopsida; Rosales; Rosaceae
Description: long non-coding RNA (MDOM_LNC013427)
Source: RNAcentral